CUAUAUUUUGUUUUAAUCUUUAUAGGAGCGUGAGAGAGAUUUCCUAGGCCAGCUUGCAGCUCUCAGUCAACUUGGUAAAGAUGAGCUUAACAACAUGGUUCAUACAGCUAUAGCAGAGGAUGGUGGCGAUGAGAAUGAUGCCAAGAAGCUGAGCAAGGAUCUCAACAAACGAAUCAAGACGGCCAAGACGAGACCAGACAUGGAGCCUGGAGAGAUGGAGGAUGAACCGAUGGAAGAGAAACCCAAGAAGAGAAAGAAGAAGAAAGGAAAAAAAACAUCUCCAUCAGAAGAUUCAUAUUGAGAAUAUUGAUAAACAAUGAUGGAAACAUGGAGGAAGACUUGGUGAAGGAGAGAAUCUAAAGAAGAACUUAGAAGUCAAAGAAAAGAAAGGAAUAUAUGAAUUUAAAAAAAAACUGUUGAGACAGAAAUUUUGAAAAUUGUGAAAGUCUGGGGAAAGGGUAAUGAGUCCUAUAAAACAUCGCAUUUGAACCUCAAAAAGAGAAGAAGAAAAAAAUUUAUGUGUUUCUUAUCAUCUUGGGAUAUAUAUCAUGAAUUUGUAAUUAGGUGUUCAAAUUAAAUCAUGAUUGACAAUGUAUUUGCUUCUGGGGAAAACAAACAAACAAACAAACAAAAUAAAACAACAGCAAAAAGUCUUGCCCUGUCUUGCUAGUGUAAGCAGUCUUGGAUGUGUUUGAGAAGUGAUCCCUAUGAGUGUAUUUCAUUAACUUAUUAAAUUAUUGCAGACUCCACUAUAUUUGUACAUGUAUGAAAUGAUGACAUUUCUAAAGUAACCUGUCCCCAAGAAGUGGGUUCCAUCAACCAAACCAAAGCUUGAAAAUUCACCUUGAGAAAUAUUUAUGUAAAUAAUUAUGCACCUUGAUCUUUGUAAAUAAUGUAAUUAGUGAACAAAUUUUAUGUAUGUAAUGUAAAGCUCUUUGAGUGGAUCUGAAAUAUAGGUAUUUUAUGUAAAGAAACUUUGAACAACUAUUUGUUGUGUGUGCCAUGUUGUCUUUCAGAUGAAAAUUAAUGAAGCUUUUUGCAUUUCAUUGUUCUUAAGUUUCUCAGUAGACAUCGACUCUUAUGGUUUUAUGUAUAUGUUUUAUAUAAAAUGUCCAUAUAAUUGAACUGGCAUUACAAGGUAAGUGAUGAAGAAAUAGUUUGAUGCAAGAAUCAUGACUGUUCUUUACAAUUCUCAGGAUCAAUGUCUUGUUUGUGUGAUAUAGAAUAUAUUUUAAGUAAAUGAUAAUUUAAUGUAUGUGUACACAACAUGUACAAAGAAUAAAAUUUACCAUAGAGGCUUCAUAAUGUCUAAUUUUUGCUUCAAUUUGCAAACGAUGUUCACUUCUGUGUUGAGAGAAUGUAUAUUUUUCUUAAUAUAAAAUAAUUUUAUGGUGAAGUUUCCCCAACUCUCUUGUAAAAUUGGUAAAUCUCAAGAAAUAUACAUUUGAAAAAAAAAUGUAACCUGACCUUGUGAAACUAUAUUUUUUGUAAAAUGCAUAUUUCCUUAUUUUAUGGCUUAACAAUGCAAAUAUGGUGUAAAUGUUCUAUUGACAGUUUUUUUAAAUCUUAAAUAAACAAAAAUGAUAAGGAAUUAUUUAAAGACAUCUCUUUUGUGUAUCUGGUAAUUGUGAAAUUAUAUACAAAUAAACAGAAAAUACAAAUUUUUAUUUUUAAUUUUAAACCGAUACAUAACACAUGUGUAUAUAGUGUUGAUGUAGCAGUGUGUGUCAUCAGGGAUUUAUCUUCCCAUUUUAUAUUGUAUAAACUUUUAGCGUAAUAUGUAUAUUUAUUUUGUAAUGUAAAAUAUGUGUUGUAGCAUUGGAAAUAAAUUAUGUGCUGAAGUAUA
RNAcentral lists this long non-coding RNA (1846 nucleotides) under Strongylocentrotus purpuratus (purple sea urchin). RNAcentral's name for it is "uncharacterized LOC115924248". The record is from RNAcentral. Lineage: Eukaryota; Metazoa; Echinodermata; Echinoidea; Camarodonta; Strongylocentrotidae.